RNAcentral lists this ribosomal RNA (254 nucleotides) under uncultured bacterium. Its description in RNAcentral is "partial 16S ribosomal RNA". It matches the Rfam family "Bacterial small subunit ribosomal RNA", at positions 524 to 776 of the family's 1533-position model. The record is from RNAcentral.
UACAGAGGUCUCAAGCGUUGUUCGGAUUCAUUGGGCGUAAAGGGUGUGUAGGUGGCAGCUCAAGUCUGCUGUCAAAGCCCACGGCUUAACUGUGGAAAGGCAGUGGAAACUGAGUAGCUAGAGUGCGGUAGGGGCAGAGGGAAUUCCCAGUGUAGCGGUGAAAUGCGUAGAGAUUGGGAAGAACACCGGUGGCGAAAGCGCUCUGCUAGACCGUAACUGACACUCACAGGACGAAAGCUAGGGGAGCGAAUGGG